CAAUUUUAUUUUUUAUUUCUAGUGUUUUUCAAAAAAGAAGCAGAAUGCUUUUUCUUCCUUGCUCCCUCUCCAUUUUUGCUAGGAGUUCAACCUAGCCUGCGCCACCCUGGAGGAUCAUCGGUGCCACGCACCUCCACCCCAUCGUCGGUUCACGAAUCACGACCGGGUGUUGUUGCGGAUAUCUCGGAAGCACAAGGCGUGACAAAGAGGGACUGUUGAUAGCGCACGUCUUGGAGGUGCAGUGGAUGGUGGAGGCACGUGGGGAUAGGGGUAUUUGGGGUGGAUUUUGUUUUGGUUUUGGGCUGUUUUGGGUUAUAGGAUUGGGCUAGUGGUUAAUGGGUUUGAUUAGUGGGCUAGGCAAAGAAAAUUGGUCCAACAUAGGGCAUGCAUAUAAAUUAUUUAAAAUUUUAAAUUCUAAAUUCUAAAAAAAAAAAAAAACAUGAAUUUCUAACAAAUAUAUUUGAAAAUAGAUGUUAAGAUGCUGAAAGAAAAUUUUCUUAAAUUUAUUUCAGUAUUUUUAUUGCUUUAAUUAAAUUAGUGGAAGAAAAGUAGUAUCCCAAAAGGACCUGAUUUGAUUUAUUUUAACAAAGCAACCUACUUUUUUGCAUGCUAUUUUUUCACAACCUGAUUUAAAA
This is a long non-coding RNA of Gossypium arboreum, 635 nucleotides long. RefSeq lists it as uncharacterized. NCBI's taxonomy places the organism in Eukaryota, Viridiplantae, Streptophyta, Magnoliopsida, Malvales, Malvaceae. The transcript has 2 exons. The record is from RefSeq and is a predicted model, not a curated record.